CAGGAUGAGAAGCAACCAGAUCAGCAAACUGCAGAAGGAAUUUAAACGCCACAAUUCUGAUGCUCACAGCACCACCUCAAGUGCCUCUCCCGCCCAGUCUCCAUGCUACAAUAACCAGUCAGAUGAGGGCUCAGAUACAGAGAUGGCUUCCAGCUCUAAUAGAACUCCGGUUUUUUCCUUCUUAGAUCUUACCUACUGGAAAAGACAGAAAGUAUGUUGUGGGAUCAUCUAUAAGGGCCGUUUUGGGGAAGUCCUCAUCGACACUCAUCUCUUCAAGCCUUGCUGCAGCAGUAAGAAAGCGACUGCUGAGAAGCCCGAGGAGUAGGGGCCAGCCCUCUGCCCCCCUCCACUCAGGAGUGGUGACUGAGGUUCACUUAGAAAGGAACAAAGAGUGGUUUAAACUUUGAAAAGACCACAAAACAAACUGACCCUCCUAUUUUUAACUUGGAUACCUGCUAUUCUGCCAAAAGACAUUUUUCUAGAAUAGUUUUAAAUGGGUUACUGUCCUUACCCUUCAUCCAACAAACUUGGAAGUCAGUCUCUAGCUUACUGCAAGAAAAAGGAGUGUACAUAAUAUUUAAGAUGCUGAGCAUUUCAUAGGAAAGCUGAAUGCUGCUGUGACAUGCUCUUUAAGUCUUUCUUUUUAAAUCCCCUCUGAUGAAUGGAAUUAGGGGAAUUUCAGGGGACAGAGAUGGGAUUUGUUGUGUGACAAACCAUAUGUAGUUUAGUCUUUCUGUGGAGAGGCAGUGGUUGGGGACAUUUUUAAAUGGCUGGCUACACUUGUUUUCCCUCAUGAUAAUUUCUCAUAACUCAGUAGUAUGACCUACCCCUAGAAGGUCAUUACAGAUUUUUAAACGCUAAGGCGUUGCCAAGGUUCUGAGGGUUCAGACCUGUACUACUGAUUAUUAAGCAGGACAGACUGAGCUUUCUGCAAAUAGCUUGAAGGAGGAAGCAAUUUCUGAACACUUCAUAUUGAUAAAAAAAAACGUUAUGUGGAUCUUGUAAAACAGAGCCAGAUCUCCUUCUGGGGAAGGCCUGCCUCUAGGAUGGACAAGGUCUAUAGGGAUAGGACCAAAGCAUCACCACAAAGUAGACAACACACGUGGUUAGAAACUACUUAAAUCAGAAUGUGUAAGUCCUGGGGAUGCAUAGGGCACAGUUGAUGCUGCUUGGGACACGUUUCUUAGAGAGCUUACAGUAUGUAAAUAAUUGACAUUGGUGUUAACACGACUGUCUGGGAUCCACUGAAAUCCACAUGAUUCAGUUCUAGCUCUGGAUUACCUCAGUUGACCUUUGUGGAGGUUUUAUCUACAGAGUAGUUCUUUGCCAUGUCAUAGACCUUACUUACUAGGGUUUGGGGUUUUGUUGUCUCAUUGUUCUUCUCCCACUAUUUAAGAGACUAGAAGAGAAGAGUUGUGCAUUGAGGCUAAGCUGGUUGGUUAGGUUGGCUUCUUAACAUCAAGAUAGCUGAAUGGAGCUCUACACCCCUAGAUCUCAAUGAUUCAGUUGGCUUCUCAGUGAAACCCAACUGAAGUUGUCUAAAUUGACUCUUCUCAAAGUUCAGGAAAAACAGUAAUGCCACUUUAGGCCUCAUAGAGGAGGUGUAUGUGGCUGCCUUAGUAUUCUGUUCCUCAAGAUUAUUUUAGAAACUGGAUUUUUAAAGUCUUUUAGAGUUUCACAACAAGGAGAAGCCACAGUUUGUGGCAUCCUAUAGUUUUACAUUGUGUAUUUCUUCCUUGUAGGAAAAACCUAUCUAGUACAAGUUACCAUGUGCACAGACUGCCCAAUGAGUGGGUCGUUUCUCCACAACCCCGGUGUAGUACAGAGUCCAGCCAUUACCAUUCUCCUGCGUUACUUUGACAUGGGAUUGUUUUUGUACAUUUUGGCUGCAGUAUUGGUGGUAGAAUAUACUUUGACGGAUCAUCUCUACUUCUGUAUUUAUUACUAGACCUCAACCACAGCCUUCUCUCCCUCUACUCUCUACCUGUAGGAUAUACUGUAUUUAGUCAUGCACUUUGUAUUAAUAUAUUAAAAAUCUACAGAUGUUUUGUACUUUUUAUACUGUUGGAUACUUAUAAUCAAAACUUUACUCUAAGGUAUUGAAUAAAUUUAGUCUUACUAGAAAAAAAACAACUUUACAA
Molecule: RNA transcript, 2141 nt
Organism: Mastomys coucha (southern multimammate mouse)
Lineage: Eukaryota; Metazoa; Chordata; Mammalia; Rodentia; Muridae
Gene name: SIN3-HDAC complex-associated factor pseudogene
Exons: 1
Source: RefSeq, a predicted model, not a curated record